RNAcentral lists this ribosomal RNA (381 nucleotides) under Scytodes sp. 34 YFL-2022a. RNAcentral describes it as "partial large subunit ribosomal RNA". It matches the Rfam family "Archaeal large subunit ribosomal RNA", at positions 2025 to 2673 of the family's 2987-position model. Lineage: Eukaryota; Metazoa; Arthropoda; Arachnida; Araneae; Scytodidae. The record is from RNAcentral.
GUACUAAGGUAGCAUAAUCAUUUGCCUUUUAAUUGAAGGAUAGAAUGAAAGAGACAACGAGCCAUGACAACGUCUACUAACAGAAUAAAUAAAACUAGCAUUAAAGUAAAAAGACUUUAAUGAAAAAGAAAGACGACAAGACCCUGAUGAACUUCAACAUAAAAUGUUAAGCUGGGGCGGCUUAAAAAAAACACCUUACCUUUAAAACACACAUACACCUAUAAAAUAUAUAGUAAAAACCAGUUACCACAGGGAUAACAGCAUCAUAUUCUUCAGGAGCACUCAUCCAAAAGAAUCAUUAUGACCUCGAUGUUGAAUUAUCUAUAAUAAUAAGUAACCAUAUUAACCACAGGUCUGUUCGACCUUAGAAAGAUACGUGAU